GGGGAUAUAGCUCAGUUGGUAGAGUGCUUGCCCUGCAUACACAAGGCCUGGGUUCAAUCCCCAGCACCACCA
RNAcentral lists this transfer RNA (72 nucleotides) under Ictidomys tridecemlineatus (thirteen-lined ground squirrel). Its description in RNAcentral is "Spermophilus tridecemlineatus (thirteen-lined ground squirrel) tRNA". It matches the Rfam family "tRNA". Rfam says of the family: Transfer RNA (tRNA) molecules are approximately 80 nucleotides in length. Their secondary structure includes four short double-helical elements and three loops (D, anti-codon, and T loops). Further hydrogen bonds mediate the characteristic L-shaped molecular structure. tRNAs have two regions of fundamental functional importance: the anti-codon, which is responsible for specific mRNA codon recognition, and the 3' end, to which the tRNAs corresponding amino acid is attached (by aminoacyl-tRNA synthetases). tRNAs cope with the degeneracy of the genetic code in two manners: having more than one tRNA (with a specific anti-codon) for a particular amino acid; and 'wobble' base-pairing, i.e. permitting non-standard base-pairing at the 3rd anti-codon position. The record is from Rfam by way of RNAcentral. Lineage: Eukaryota; Metazoa; Chordata; Mammalia; Rodentia; Sciuridae.